CAUGCAAGUCGAGGGGCAGCGGGAUUGAAGCUUGCUUCAAUUGCCGGCGACCGGCGCACGGGUGAGUAACGCGUAUCCAACCUUCCGCUUACUCGGGGAUAGCCUUUCGAAAGAAAGAUUAAUACCCGAUGGUAUCUUAAGCACGCAUGAGAUUAAGAUUAAAGAUUUAUCGGUAAGCGAUGGGGAUGCGUUCCAUUAGGCAGUUGGCGGGGUAACGGCCCACCAAACCUACGAUGGAUAGGGGUUCUGAGAGGAAGGUCCCCCACAUUGGAACUGAGACACGGUCCAAACUCCUACGGGAGGCAGCAGUGAGGAAUAUUGGUCAAUGGGCGAGAGCCUGAACCAGCCAAGUAGCGUGAAGGAUGACGGCCCUACGGGUCGUAAACUUCUUUUGUGCGGGAAUAAAGGAACCUACGUGUAGGUUUUUGCAUGUACCGUAACGAAUAAGCAUCGGCUAACUCCGUGCCAGCAGCCGCGGUAAUACGGAGGAUGCGAGCGUUAUCCGGAUUUAUUGGGUUUAAAGGGAGCGUAGACGGGUUUUUAAGUCAGCUGUGAAAGUUUGGGGCUCAACCUUAA
This 576-nucleotide ribosomal RNA is filed under the name uncultured bacterium. RNAcentral's name for it is "bacterial SSU rRNA". It matches the Rfam family "Bacterial small subunit ribosomal RNA", at positions 54 to 618 of the family's 1533-position model. The record is from RNAcentral.